This 90-nucleotide transfer RNA is filed under the name Mesorhizobium sp. L103C120A0. RNAcentral's name for it is "tRNA-Phe". It matches the Rfam family "tRNA". Rfam says of the family: Transfer RNA (tRNA) molecules are approximately 80 nucleotides in length. Their secondary structure includes four short double-helical elements and three loops (D, anti-codon, and T loops). RNAcentral also lists the same sequence under 2 other names. Lineage: Bacteria; Pseudomonadati; Pseudomonadota; Alphaproteobacteria; Hyphomicrobiales; Phyllobacteriaceae. The record is from RNAcentral.
GGUAGGUUGGCUGAGCGGUUUAAGGCAGUCGCCUGAAAAGCGACCGGAGGUUUGCGUCUCCCGAGGGUUCGAAUCCCUCACUUACCGCCA